This 380-nucleotide unclassified non-coding RNA is filed under the name uncultured bacterium. Its description in RNAcentral is "contains 16S-23S intergenic spacer region". The record is from RNAcentral.
UCCAACUUAUCGCUGGCGGUCUCCUGAGAGUGCUUCCCUUACGGGAGUGGCAACACAGGACAAGGGUUGCGCUCGUUGCGGGACUUAACCCAACAUCUCACGACACGAGCUGACGACAGCCAUGCAGCACCUAUACUACGGUCUCUUGCGAGAAGAUCUGCUUUCACAGACUGUCCCUGGCAUGUCAAGGGUAGGUAAGGUUCUUCGCGUUGCGUCGAAUUAAACCACAUGCUCCACCGCUUGUGCGGGCCCCCGUCAAUUCCUUUGAGUUUCAGCCUUGCGGCCGUACUCCCCAGGCGGGGCACUUAAUGCGUUUGCGACGGCCCUCAAGGGGUCGCUCCCCCAAGGACCUAGUGCCCAUCGUUUACGGCGUGGACUAC